This 22-nucleotide microRNA is filed under the name Monodelphis domestica (gray short-tailed opossum). RNAcentral's name for it is "Mdo-Mir-7385-P2-v1_3p (mature (guide))". Lineage: Eukaryota; Metazoa; Chordata; Mammalia; Didelphimorphia; Didelphidae. The record is from RNAcentral.
GAACAUAGUCUAUCGGACCUGG